This is a non-coding RNA of Acanthosepion pharaonis, 106 nucleotides long. NCBI's taxonomy places the organism in Eukaryota, Metazoa, Mollusca, Cephalopoda, Sepiida, Sepiidae. The record is from the annotation of a GenBank genome assembly.
AAUAUCACAUUGAAACACCCAUUCUCGUACGAUCACCGAAGUUAAGCAACGACGAACCUGGUCAUUACUUAAAUGGGUGACCACUCAGGAAUACCAGAUGCUGUAU